This 24-nucleotide microRNA is filed under the name Populus x canadensis (hybrid black poplar). Its description in RNAcentral is "PC-3p-272434_3". The record is from RNAcentral. Lineage: Eukaryota; Viridiplantae; Streptophyta; Magnoliopsida; Malpighiales; Salicaceae.
AGACACACCAAAACUUCAAUGAUG